GUUCCCUUCAACUUUAACAUGGGAGUGCUUUCUGUCUCUGUAAAAAGAGUAAGUGCUUCCAAGUUUUAGUAGAAGU
Mesocricetus auratus (golden hamster) is the source of this 76-nucleotide microRNA precursor. The record is from Ensembl. NCBI's taxonomy places the organism in Eukaryota, Metazoa, Chordata, Mammalia, Rodentia, Cricetidae.